This 253-nucleotide ribosomal RNA is filed under the name uncultured bacterium. Its description in RNAcentral is "partial 16S ribosomal RNA". It matches the Rfam family "Bacterial small subunit ribosomal RNA", at positions 524 to 776 of the family's 1533-position model. The record is from RNAcentral.
UACGUAGGGGGCAAGCGUUGUCCGGAAUUACUGGGCGUAAAGGGCGCGUAGGCGGUCUGUUGCGUCGGAUGUGAAAACUCGGGGCUCAACUCCGAGCUUGCAGUCGAUACGGGCAGGCUAGAGUUCGGCAGGGGAGACUGGAAUUCCUGGUGUAGCGGUGAAAUGCGCAGAUAUCAGGAGGAACACCAGUGGCGAAGGCAGCUCGCUGGGACGGUACUGACGCUGAGACGCGAAAGCGUGGGGAGCAAACAGG